UACAGAGGUGGCAAGCGUUGUUCGGAAUUACUGGGCGUAAAGGGCGCGUAGGCGGUCUUGCAAGUCCUGUGUGAAAUCCCUCGGCUCAACUGAGGAACUGCACAGGAAACUGCUUGGCUUGAGUUCGGGAGAGGGAAGCGGAAUUCCGGGUGUAGCGGUGAAAUGCGUAGAUAUUCGGAAGAACACCAGUGGCGAAGGCGACUCGCUGGACAGACAUUGACGCUGAGGUGCGAAAGCGUGGGGAGCAAACAGG
Molecule: ribosomal RNA, 253 nt
Filed under: uncultured bacterium
Lineage: Bacteria
Description: partial 16S ribosomal RNA
Rfam family: Bacterial small subunit ribosomal RNA
Source: RNAcentral